GACGAACGCUGGCGGCGUGCUUAACACAUGCAAGUCGAACGGAAAGGCCCUGCUUUUGUGGGGUGCUCGAGUGGCGAACGGGUGAGUAACACGUGAGUAACCUGCCCUUGACUUUGGGAUAACUUCAGGAAACUGGGGCUAAUACCGGAUAGGAGCUCCUGCUGCAUGGUGGGGGUUGGAAAGUUUCGGCGGUUGGGGAUGGACUCGCGGCUUAUCAGCUUGUUGGUGGGGUAGUGGCUUACCAAGGCUUUGACGGGUAGCCGGCCUGAGAGGGUGACCGGCCACAUUGGGACUGAGAUACGGCACAGACGCCUACGGGAGGCAGCAGUGGGGAAUAUUGCACAAUGGGCGGAAGCCUGAUGCAGCAACGCCGCGUGCGGGAUGACGGCCUUCGGGUUGUAAACCGCUUUCGCCUGUGACGAAGCGUGAGUGAAGGUAAUGGGUAAAGAAGCACCGGCUAACUACGUG
RNAcentral lists this ribosomal RNA (468 nucleotides) under uncultured bacterium. RNAcentral describes it as "partial 16S ribosomal RNA". It matches the Rfam family "Bacterial small subunit ribosomal RNA", at positions 28 to 507 of the family's 1533-position model. The record is from RNAcentral.